RNAcentral lists this unclassified non-coding RNA (1458 nucleotides) under Hevea brasiliensis (rubber tree). Lineage: Eukaryota; Viridiplantae; Streptophyta; Magnoliopsida; Malpighiales; Euphorbiaceae. The record is from RNAcentral.
UCUUUAUGCUGGUCCUGAUUUUUCAAGCAUUUAUUGGCCAGAUCCUGAAGUAUCUAUCUUUGACUCUGGGAGAACUACUUACAAUAACAGUAGAAUAGCUCAUUUUGAUCCUUUGGGCAAUUUCAGUUCAUCAGAUAAGUUCUUUUUUAAGUCAGCAGAUUAUGGAGCGAACCUCCAAAGAAGAUUCACAAUGGAUAGCGAUGGAAAUAUUCGAUUGUACAGUCGGGAAGACAAGGGAGGCAAAUGGACUGUUUCAUGGCAGGCCAUAUCUCAACCAUGCAAGAUUCACGGCAUCUGUGGACCAAAUAGUUUAUGCAACUAUUUUCCUAGUUCUGGGAGGAAAUGUUCCUGCCUUCAGGGAUUCAAGACGAAGGAUGUAAAUGACUGGUCUUUGGGUUGUGAGCCAGAAUUCAAUCUUUCUUGUUCAACAACUGAGAUCACUUUUCUUCGACUGACUCAUGCUGAUUUUUACGGGUAUGACAAUCGUUUCUAUCGGAAUUACACCUUAGAUAUGUGUAAAAAUGCAUGCUCCAAAAGAUGUGAUUGCAAAGGGUUCCAAUUCAAGUUCAUCAAGCCUGGUUAUCCUAAUAACAAUCCUUAUUGUUUUGUGAAGAUCCUGUUGCUAAACGGGUAUCGUUCACAGAAUUUUGAAGGAGAUAUUUACUUGAAAGUGCCGAAAGCAAGUCACUUCUACUCUCAGCCUAUGGAAGAAUCCAGGACGUUAGAUUGCUCAGGUGAAAUUGCCAAGCUACUAAACAGAGUGUAUACAAAAAGCCAAGAAAACGAAACACUAAAGUAUAUGCUUUGGUUUGCUUCGAUAAUUGGAGCAAUUGAAUUCAUUGGUAUUUUCUUGGUAUGGUGUUUGUUGAUCAGAAUCCACCAGAACUCAGGUGCAGUUGAGCAAGAUUACGUUCAAGAAGCAACAGGCUUUAGAAAAUUCACCUACGCCGAGCUGGAAAAGGCAACCAGGGGUUUCAGCGAAGAAAUUGGAAGAGGAGCAGGAGGAAUUGUUUACAAAGGAGUACUAUCUGAUCAUAGAGUUGCAGCAGUAAAGAGAUUGAUUAAUGAAGCUAACCAAGGCGAAACACAAUUCCGAGCGGAAGUUAGUGUGAUUGGGAAACUUAAUCACAUGAACCUGAUAGAGAUGUGGGGAUACUGUGCAGAGAGAAAUCACAGGCUUUUGGUUUGCAAGUACAUAGAGCACAGAUCCUUGGCAGAAAACCUCUCAUCUAAUUCACUUGAUUGGGAAAAAAGGUUUAAUAUUGCCUUGGGUACAGCCAAGGGCCUUUGCUAUUUACAUGAGGAGUGCUUAGAGUGGGUUCUACACUGUGAUGUAAAGCCUCAAAACAUUCUGCUUGACUGUGAUUACCAGCCAAAGGUGUCAGACUUUGGCCUGUCUCAUCCACUGAAAAGAGAUAGCCAUGGAAUUUCAAGGCUUUCAAGGAUAAGAGGAACUAG